AUUGAACGCUGGCGGCAGGCCUAACACAUGCAAGUCGAGCGGAUGAAGGGAGCUUGCUCCUGGAUUCAGCGGCGGACGGGUGAGUAAUGCCUAGGAAUCUGCCUGGUAGUGGGGGAUAACGUCCGGAAACGGGCGCUAAUACCGCAUACGUCCUGAGGGAGAAAGUGGGGGAUCUUCGGACCUCACGCUAUCAGAUGAGCCUAGGUCGGAUUAGCUAGUUGGUGGGGUAAAGGCCUACCAAGGCGACGAUCCGUAACUGGUCUGAGAGGAUGAUCAGUCACACUGGAACUGAGACACGGUCCAGCCUCCUACGGGAGGCAGCAGUGGGGAAUAUUGGACAAUGGGCGAAAGCCUGAUCCAGCCAUGCCGCGUGUGUGAAGAAGGUCUUCGGAUUGUAAAGCACUUUAAGUUGGGAGGAAGGGCAGUAAGUUAAUACCUUGCUGUUUUGACGUUACCAACAGAAUAAGCACCGGCUAACUUCGUG
This 484-nucleotide ribosomal RNA is filed under the name uncultured bacterium. RNAcentral describes it as "partial 16S ribosomal RNA". It matches the Rfam family "Bacterial small subunit ribosomal RNA", at positions 30 to 507 of the family's 1533-position model. The record is from RNAcentral.